AACAAAUACAGUCACCCAACGUAUUUGCGGGAAGCAUGUGCAGUUCUAGAACUCGAACAGAUCACUUCGGUUUUUCACAUGACCAUCGUUUGUUUUAUUCUACUUUUGUAAGCCACAUAAAACAUGGAAUCAAAAUCCAGGGAUCACAAGGAAGAGAAUACGAUUGCACGAAGAAAGUUUUGUGGCGCGCUAAAGGCAUGUUGUCACUGUCAGAUAAAUUUUCUAAGAGCAAUUUUCAAAGACGGCUACAGCACCUUACUCAAAUUUUUCUGUAUCCGUCCUUGAUACUACAUCUGGACGUUAAGUGCUCCAGCGAUAAUACACGGUGAAGAGAAUCAGGGAGGGUACCCUCAAGACAAGAGCCACCCACCCCUGAGAGAGAGGAACAGGAAUAUGAAAAGAUUGCUAAUUUUGGUGUAGCUGAAGUGGAAGACUGUGGCAAUAUUUUUACGUUAACAAAUGUCUUUGCGGGUUCUCACGCGAACUGACGAAAGAAUUGAAAAGAAAGGAAUUGAUAAGAAGACGGCAAUUGAACAGUUUUCUAAUGUACGUAUUUGGGAUAGAGGCUGUCCUAGUUUUCAAUUUCCUUCGUUUUUAUCAAACAGUGACAGUAUAAAGCCAAGAUAUUUUCGUAAAAACAAAAUCAUUGCUCAUAUGAAAAGUAUCUGCUGAAAUAUUUGAAAGACAGAACAUUGCAACAGGAAAUGUCAUUGCUGAUAAACAACCUAGGCUUAAUUGGAGACAACAUGUAGAAGUUUAUGUAUUCCGAGUUAUACAAAUACCGAAUACAAGUUAUACGAGUAUAACUUGUAUAGUGACAAAUUUAUGGUGCAAGAUCCAAUCUAGGACUGGGUACAAGUACAGUAGUCUAAAAAUUGAUUUUGUAGAAUUUUUAAAGCUGUUUGUGCAUCUCAUUUUAUUCAGCACGUCAAAUAACGCCAGAAAAAAGGUUCAGUUUUGUAAA
Non-coding RNA from Rhopilema esculentum, 964 nucleotides. Lineage: Eukaryota; Metazoa; Cnidaria; Scyphozoa; Rhizostomeae; Rhizostomatidae. The record is from RefSeq and is a predicted model, not a curated record.